RNAcentral lists this ribosomal RNA (254 nucleotides) under uncultured bacterium. RNAcentral's name for it is "partial 16S ribosomal RNA". It matches the Rfam family "Bacterial small subunit ribosomal RNA", at positions 524 to 776 of the family's 1533-position model. The record is from RNAcentral.
CACGUAGGGCGCAAGCGUUUGUCCGGAAUUAUUGGGCGUAAAGAGCUCGUAGGCGGUCUGUUGCGUCCGCUGUGAAAACUCGGGGCUUAACCCCGAGCCUGCAGUGGAUACGGGCAGACUAGAGGUAGGUAGGGGAGAAUGGAAUUCCCGGUGUAGCGGUGAAAUGCGCAGAUAUCGGGAGGAACACCGGUGGCGAAGGCGGGUCUCUGGGCAGUAACUGACGCUGAGGAGCGAAAGCGUGGGGAGCGAACAGG